AUUGAACGCUGGCGGCAGGCUUAACACAUGCAAGUCGAGCGGAUGAAGGGAGCUUACUCCUGGAUUCAGCGGCGGACGGGUGAGUAAUGCCUAGGAAUCUGCCUGGUAGUGGGGGAUAACGUCCGGAAACGGGCGCUAAUACCGCAUACGUCCUGAGGGAGAAAGUGGGGGAUCUUCGGACCUCACGCUAUCAGAUGAGCCUAGGUCGGAUUAGCUAGUUGGUGGGGUAAAGGCCUACCAAGGCGACGAUCCGUAACUGGUCUGAGAGGAUGAUCAGUCACACUGGAACUGAGACACGGUCCAGACUCCUACGGGAGGCAGCAGUGGGGAAUAUUGGACAAUGGGCGAAAGCCUGAUCCAGCCAUGCCGCGUGUGUGAAGAAGGUCUUCGGAUUGUAAAGCACUUUAAGUUGGGAGGAAGGGCAGUAAGUUAAUACCUUGCUGUUUUGACGUUACCAACAGAAUAAGCACCGGCUAACUUCGUG
Molecule: ribosomal RNA, 484 nt
Filed under: uncultured bacterium
Lineage: Bacteria
Description: partial 16S ribosomal RNA
Rfam family: Bacterial small subunit ribosomal RNA
Source: RNAcentral